AUCCGAACUUUGACCGAAAUUGCUAUAACAAUACCGAACUUUGAAAAGGACAUUUUACCCCUGCACUAUUUAAUAGUGUAUUUUAAAGGUAUAUAAAUAGUAGUGUGUCCAUGUGGGCACAUAUAUACCUUUAAAAUACACUAUUAAAUAGUGCAGGGGUAAAAUGUCCUUUUCAAAGUUCGGUAUUGUUAUAGCAAUUUCGGUCAAAGUUCGGAUAU
Non-coding RNA from Solanum tuberosum (potato), 218 nucleotides. NCBI's taxonomy places the organism in Eukaryota, Viridiplantae, Streptophyta, Magnoliopsida, Solanales, Solanaceae. The record is from RefSeq and is marked provisional.